AUAUGGCCGAGUACUUGGUAUUUCACAAAAGGAAAAUAAUUUAAUAAAUCUAACGGAUCGUUCGCUAUUCGAGAGGGAUGCAAGCUUAUCUACAAGCAAAAUAAUUUAUAUAUGUGUUAAAUAUAACAGAACUGCAUGUCAUCUGUUACGGCUCUUUGAGGAUACUGCCGCCUCAGUCACACUAUUAUAUAUUGUCUUCUUUUCACAAUUCGAGUAUUACUUAAUUUAUAUCGACAUAGACGCGAUUGCCGCCUGUUUCAUCUUUUUAAGCACACAAAUUCCAGUGGGCUUCUAUCAUUCGAGAAAAAUCAACAUCCAAUCAUUUACCAUCAUUUAGAACAUUCAAAUAUAAGUGAUAUAAAAUAAGGCAAUAAAUACACAACAUCAAUCGGCCCUUUGAUGAUACCGCCGUACCGUCAUCAUUCUUUCACCCUAUGUACCGUUACAAUUAUUUCAAUACAAAUUUCAAAUCUACGCAUAACACUUUAUUUAUGGUUGACC
Cinara cedri is the source of this 501-nucleotide non-coding RNA. The record is from the annotation of a GenBank genome assembly. NCBI's taxonomy places the organism in Eukaryota, Metazoa, Arthropoda, Insecta, Hemiptera, Aphididae.